AACGAACGCUGGCGGCAUGCCUAACACAUGCAAGUCGAACGAGACCUUCGGGUCUAGUGGCGCACGGGUGCGUAACGCGUGGGAACCUGCCCUUAGGUUCGGAAUAACUCCCCGAAAGGGGUGCUAAUACCGGAUAAUGUCUUCGGACCAAAGAUUUAUCGCCUUUGGAUGGGCCCGCGUUGGAUUAGCUAGUUGGUAGGGUAAAAGCCUACCAAGGCGACGAUCCAUAGCUGGUCUGAGAGGAUGAUCAGCCACACUGGGACUGAGACACGGCACAGACUCCUACGGGAGGCAGCAGAGGGGGAUAAUGGACAAUGGGCGAAAGCCUGAUCCAGCAAUGCCGCGUGAGUGAUGAAGGCCUUAGGGUUGUAAAGCUCUUUUACCCGGGAUGAUAAUGACAGUACCGGGAGAAUAAGCGCCGGCUAACUCCGUG
RNAcentral lists this ribosomal RNA (433 nucleotides) under uncultured bacterium. Its description in RNAcentral is "partial 16S ribosomal RNA". It matches the Rfam family "Bacterial small subunit ribosomal RNA", at positions 29 to 507 of the family's 1533-position model. The record is from RNAcentral.